UACGUAGGGGGCAAGCGUUGUUCGGAAUUACUGGGCGUAAAGGGCGCGUAGGCGGCCACCGCAAGUCGACUGUGAAAUCUCCGGGCUUAACCCGGAAAGGUCAGCCGAUACUGCGGGGCUAGAGUGCAGAAGGGGCAACUGGAAUUCUCGGUGUAGCGGUGAAAUGCGUAGAUAUCGAGAGGAACACCUGCGGCGAAGGCGGGUUGCUGGGCUGACACUGACGCUGAUGCGCGAAAGCUAGGGGAGCGAACGGG
Molecule: ribosomal RNA, 254 nt
Filed under: uncultured bacterium
Lineage: Bacteria
Description: partial 16S ribosomal RNA
Rfam family: Bacterial small subunit ribosomal RNA
Source: RNAcentral